This 431-nucleotide ribosomal RNA is filed under the name uncultured bacterium. RNAcentral's name for it is "partial 16S ribosomal RNA". It matches the Rfam family "Bacterial small subunit ribosomal RNA", at positions 29 to 507 of the family's 1533-position model. The record is from RNAcentral.
AACGAACGCUGGCGGCAGGCUUAACACAUGCAAGUCGAACGCCCCGCCAGGGGAGUGGCAGACGGGUGAGUAACGCGUGGGAAUCUACCCUGAACUGCGGGAUAGCUCCGGGAAACUGGAAUUAAUACCGCAUGUGCCCUGAGGGGCAAAGAUUUAUCGGUUCAGGAUGAGCCCGCGUCCGAUUAGCUAGUUGGUGGGGUAAAGGCCUACCAAGGCGACGAUCGGUAGCUGGUCUAAGAGGAUGAUCAGCCACAUUGGGACUGAGACACGGCCCAAACUCCUACGGGAGGCAGCAGUGGGGAAUAUUGGACAAUGGGCGCAAGCCUGAUCCAGCCAUGCCGCGUGAGUGAUGAAGGCCCUAGGGUUGUAAAGCUCUUUCACCGGGGACGAUAAUGACGGUACCCGGAGAAGAAGCCCCGGCUAACUUCGUG